CUUGCUUUCCGGAGGCGGCAGGAACGUUUCAGGAGCUCCAAGGCUCUAGGCGCCUGCAUUCCUCGCCCCAGCCGGUAGUCUCCUAGCCCUGUUGAACGCAAGAGCAUCCAAGGGCGCGCAAGUCCCCAAGAGCUCUCAGAGGUUCCUGACCCUGAGCGUUAAAGCCCUUCCUCGCGGAUGAGACCCUUGGUGCGUUCCACCCGCUUGGGGGCUGAGACUCGCCAGGACGCACUCAGAAUGAACUUUCCGCGCAGGGUAGUAGUACUGAACUCGCCUGGUGAAUCUACA
RNAcentral lists this long non-coding RNA (288 nucleotides) under Homo sapiens (human). RNAcentral describes it as "non-protein coding lnc-ASCL1-2:1". The record is from RNAcentral. Lineage: Eukaryota; Metazoa; Chordata; Mammalia; Primates; Hominidae.